GGACAACCUAACCUGAAGAGGGGGAUAACCCCGGGAAACUGGGGAUAAUACCCCAUAGGCUAUGAAUGCUGUAAUGCUUUGUAGUUGAAAGGUCCGCCGCUUCAGGAUGGGUCUGCGGCCGAUUAGGUUGUUGUUGGGGUAACGGCCCAACAAGCCUGUAAUCGGUACGGGUUGUGGGAGCAAGAGCCCGGAGAUGGAUUCUGAGACACGAAUCCAGGCCCUACGGGGCGCAGCAGGCGCGAAAACUUUACAAUGCGAGCAAUCGUGAUAAGGGAACUCCGAGUGCCUGUAAAAUCAGGCUGUCCGCCAGUGUAAAAAACUGGUGAAGAAAGGGCCGGGCAAGACCGGUGCCAGCCGCCGCGGUAAUACCGGCGGCUCGAGUGGUGGCCACUAUUACUGGGCUUAAAGCGUUCGUAGCUGGUUUGUUAAGUCUCUGGGGAAAUCUUCCGGCUCAACCGGAAGGCGUCUCAGGGAUACUGGCAGACUAGGGACCGGAAGAGGUGAGAGGUACUCCAGGGGUAGGAGUGAAAUCCUGUAAUCCUUGGGGGACCACCUGUGGCGAAGGCGUCUCACCAGGACGGCUCCGACAGUGAGGAACGAAAGCUGGGGGAGCAAACCGGAUUAGAUACCCGGGUAGUCCCAGCCGUAAACGAUGCGCGUUAGGUGUAUCGGUGACCACGAGUUACCGAGGUGCCGAAGAGAAAUCGUGAAACGCGCCGCCUGGGAAGUACGGUCGCAAGGCUGAAACUUAAAGGAAUUGGCGGGGGAGCACCACAACAGGUGGAGCCUGCGGUUUAAUCGGACUCAACGCCGGGAAACUCACCGGACAAGACAGCUGAAUGAUAGUCGGGCUGAAGACUCUACUUGACUAGCUGAGAGGUGGUGCAUGGC
RNAcentral lists this ribosomal RNA (891 nucleotides) under uncultured archaeon. RNAcentral describes it as "bacterial SSU rRNA". It matches the Rfam family "Archaeal small subunit ribosomal RNA", at positions 102 to 998 of the family's 1478-position model. The record is from RNAcentral.